CCGCUAUUCGUUUUAUGCGAGUGUAUAGAGAAAUGAUGUUACAGAGUGCGAACAUUGAAAUAUUCAGUCGAGAUUAAUAUUUCAACGAUUAUUGUUGACUUACGCAAUUUCAUGGACAGACAUGAGGUAAAAGUGGAAAAUACAAAUGCGAGAGAUAAACAACUUGGGGUGUUUUCAAGGAGAUUGGCUGGUGGUUACACCGCUAAAAAGAGAGAUAAAGAAGGAAAUGAAGGAAUUAUAUUUCUCCCAUGAGGAUCUCAAUAAAAUAAUACCCUUUGAUUCAC
This is a long non-coding RNA of Chelonus insularis, 284 nucleotides long. RefSeq lists it as uncharacterized. The record is from RefSeq and is a predicted model, not a curated record. Lineage: Eukaryota; Metazoa; Arthropoda; Insecta; Hymenoptera; Braconidae. The transcript is spliced from 3 exons.